RNAcentral lists this ribosomal RNA (253 nucleotides) under uncultured bacterium. RNAcentral describes it as "partial 16S ribosomal RNA". It matches the Rfam family "Bacterial small subunit ribosomal RNA", at positions 524 to 776 of the family's 1533-position model. The record is from RNAcentral.
UACGGAGGGUGCAAGCGUUAUCCGGAUUCACUGGGUUUAAAGGGUGCGUAGGUGGGCAAGUAAGUCAGUGGUGAAAUCUCCGGGCUUAACUCGGAACGGUCAAGUGAUACUGUCGUGCUAGAGUGCGGAAGGGGCAACUGGAAUUCUUGGUGUAGCGGUGAAAUGCGUAGAUAUCAAGAGGAACACCUGCGGCGAAGGCGGGUUGCUGGGCCGACACUGACGCUGAGGCGCGAAAGCUAGGGGAGCGAACGGG